RNAcentral lists this ribosomal RNA (491 nucleotides) under Bacteroidetes bacterium oral taxon 281. RNAcentral's name for it is "bacterial SSU rRNA". It matches the Rfam family "Bacterial small subunit ribosomal RNA", at positions 441 to 928 of the family's 1533-position model. The record is from RNAcentral. Lineage: Bacteria; Pseudomonadati; Bacteroidota.
GCAGAGCAAUAAGGAACACGUGUGUUCCGAUGAGAGUAUGCGUCGAAUAAGCAUCGGCUAACUCCGUGCCAGCAGCCGCGGUAAUACGGAGGAUGCGAGCGUUAUCCGGAUUUAUUGGGUUUAAAGGGUGCGAAGGCUGUUGGAUAAGUCAGCGGUGAAAUCACCACGCUUAACGUGUUGUGUGCCGUUGAAACUGUCCAGCUUGAAUGCGCUCGUCGUGAGAGGAAUGUGUGGUGUAGCGGUGAAAUGCAUAGAUAUCACACAGAACACCGAUUGCGAAGGCAUCUCACGAGAGCGUUAUUGACGCUGAUGCACGAAAGCGCGGGUAUCGAACAGGAUUAGAUACCCUGGUAGUCCGCGCUGUAAACGAUGAUGACUAACCGUUGGUCUGGUAUGGAUCAGUGGUCAAGCGAAAGCGUUAAGUCAUCCACCUGGGGGAGUACGGCCGCAAGGCUGAAACUCAAAGGAAUUGGACGGGGGGGCCCGCACAA